GCUGGGCAUGGUGGUGCACACCCAUAAUCCCAGCAGCUCAGGAGGCUGAGGCAGGAGGAUUGCAAGUUUAAAGCCAGUCUCGGCAACUUAGCAAGGCUUUAAACAACUCAGUGAGACCCUGUCUCUA
RNAcentral lists this small RNA (127 nucleotides) under Marmota monax (woodchuck). The record is from RNAcentral. Lineage: Eukaryota; Metazoa; Chordata; Mammalia; Rodentia; Sciuridae.